UGUGUAGGCGGACCGUUAAGUGCUUUGUGAAAUCCCCCGGCUUAACCGGGGAACGGCUGGGCAUACUGGCGGUCUUGAGCCACCUAGGGGCAGCUGGAACAAACGGUGGAGCGGUGAAAUGCGUAGAUAUCGUUUGGAACGCCAAAGGUGAAAACAGGUUGCUGGGGGUGUGCUGACGCUGAGACACGAAAGCCAGGGGAGCGAACGGGAUUAGAUACCCCGGUAGUCCUGGCCCUAAACGAUGUCCACUAGAUCGCGGAGCCUCUGACGGUUUUCGCGGUCGAAGCAAAAGUGCUAAGUGGACCGCCUGGGAAGUACGGUCGCAAGGCUAAA
Molecule: ribosomal RNA, 333 nt
Filed under: uncultured bacterium
Lineage: Bacteria
Description: bacterial SSU rRNA
Rfam family: Bacterial small subunit ribosomal RNA
Source: RNAcentral